UAACGAAUAUUCCACAAUGCGCGAAAGCGUGAUGGAGCAAUGCCGCGUGCGGGAUGAAGCGCCUUUGGCGUGUAAACCGCUGUCAGGGGAUAGAAACAUUGAUCAUCUCCAGAGGAAGGGGCGACUAACUCUGUGCCAGCAGUCGCGGUAAUACAGAGGCCCCGAGCGUUAGUCGGAAUCACUGGGCUUAAAGGGUGCGUAGGCGGAUCGGUAAGUGUUCUGUGAAAGCCCCUGGCUCAACCGGGGAACCGCAGGGCAUACUGCCGAUCUUGAGGAAGCUAGAGGCCGGCGGAACGAUAGGUGGAGCGGUGGAAUGCGUAGAGAUCUAUCGGAACGCCAAUGGUGAAGACAGCCGGCUGGGGCUUUCCUGACGCUGAGGCACGAAAGCGUGGGGAGCAAA
RNAcentral lists this ribosomal RNA (400 nucleotides) under uncultured bacterium. RNAcentral describes it as "bacterial SSU rRNA". It matches the Rfam family "Bacterial small subunit ribosomal RNA", at positions 355 to 772 of the family's 1533-position model. The record is from RNAcentral.